AGAAGGGAAUUCUGGCAGAACCACUUCUGGACCUGUCCCUCUGCACCCCCCAUUCCUGCGCCCUCAUUUAACCUCCCUGACUCUGACCUGGGCUUGGUCUAUCUUGGGGCCUGGCUGCCGUCCUGGGACGGGAAGGGGAGCAGAUCAGAACUCAGCCUGCGGCUCCAGGCCGCUGGGCGCUGGCUGGGCCUCACGUUCUCCUGGAAGGACCACCUCCCUUGCCCUCCACGGGGUCUGCCUUUGCUCCCAAGGCUCCGCCCUGGACGGAGCGUCCUUCUUGCCUGGGCGUCUUCAGACCUUCAUCUGUGACACCGGGGGCCAUGUGGCUCACCCCGAGGAAGAGACGAGGACUCGCUGUGUUGGCUGUUCUUGAGCUUCUGGGCUCAAGCAAUCCUCCCUCCUGAGCUUCCCAGAGUGCUAGGAUUACAGGUGUGAGCCACUGAGCCCAGCCCAUUUUCUUUUUUUUUUUUUUCCUGGCUUCCUUUCCUCCCUGUCUCCCUGGCCUACCCUUCCUCUUCCCUCAGCUGUUCCUUCCCUUUCUCUCCAGUGAAGACUAAGGGCCAAGCAUGAGCCUUUCUUCCUGCUCUUUUACCCUUGAGGCAGCAGGAGAGGAUAUUCACCUCCUGACAUGACAGAUUCUGACGCUAUCUGCUCCUCUGUGACUUUGGGAAGCGGGGUAUGUGCUGCUCCUGGGCUGAUGGGGGAAAGUGCCUCUCCCAGCAAUGCUGGUGCCACUUGGUGUGCUACGGCCCCCCAGGGCAGUGCGGAGCCAUCUGGGACAGUUAGACAAUGAGAGACGUGAAGCCAUUUCAAGGUGCUUCCUUGAAAAUGCUCCAGAAAAACAGCAGAGGCGGCCUCUCUGGGGAUCCGGUCCAGCCCUUGAAAAGAAUCUGUUUGUUUCACCACUGAACUCAAAUAAGCCAACAGAUUGAAGGAAGGGAGUUUCCACGCGCCCCUCCCCACCAAGCAGUUACCUGAGUUCCAGAGUCCAGUCCGAUGGAUCCCAUUUUACCCUGGUUUAAAUUGUUUCCUUAGAAAAAAAUAAACAGAACCUCUUCUCUCACUCUCCAGUGGAAAGUAUAGAAUCAAACGUAAAUGAAAAUGACAGUUUCUAACAUGCGCGACCUGGACACGCGGCUGAACUCCGAGCCUCAGCUGCAGAGUGGGGUCAAUGCACCUACCUUGCAGCGUCACUGUGAGGAUCCACACAACAGAAAUAAACUGCUUAGUGUGUAGUAGGAGCCUCAAAAAUGAUGAUUCAAAAGCACCAGCCUGUCACAUUCAUCCCCUGCUCAAAAACUCUCCCUGCCUUUCCUAGCGCCUAAUGGACAGAUAUUAGUUCAGAAACACUUUAUAACUAAGUGGCCAUAGAGGCAGGCCUGAAGCCUAUUUUCAUUUUCUGUUUCAGUUUCUGAAUCUGUUCUUAUUUAGUCUUCCCUUAAAGGCUAUCUGGCGCCUCCGUGAUGCUUAAUCAGGACAAGCUUGCAGAUGGGUACAGGUUGCAGGCCCUUGCCUCUCUUCCCUUAACCCCACAGCAGCCAGUAAACCACCUGGACACAGAAAGAGACCCACAUAUUCUCUAAAAUGCCUGAAUGGAACAAUCUAGAAUCUAAGCAUUCCUUAUAGGAACAGAGACUACUGUAAGAUGCGGGAUAGUAAGAAGGCAGCCUAGACUCUUCAAAAGGACAAUGUUUUAAAAAAAAUGAAGUGGAGGGAUGAUUCAAGAUUAAAAGAGAGUGAAGAAAUGAGGCCAACCAGAUGCAGUGUACAGACUUGGGCCACAGUGGGGGAGGUGACAGCAGACGGUUUGGUGGGAAGGAACGCACCAGAGCCCCAUGGGCCUGCCUGGCCAGCUCGCUUGGUCAUCCUGGUAAAACAGCAGAGCUCUCUGUUCCAAGAGGCCCACGCGCAGCCCCACAUGCCUGCUGAUCUGUGUACACACGUGUGUGCACUCUAGCAAGCCUCACUUUAAUUGUGAAGAAACAUGGGAACCGGUGCUCCCACCCGGGCUGUGGGAGUGUGGUGCGGUGGGGCCUGGACACGGGGAGGGUCCGAAGUGGGGCCAGCUCCCUGGAGUCAGGCAUGUCUGUCUCAAGCUGCCCCUGUCCCUUGCUGAAUGGGAACCCCCACCAGCUGCCUCGGGAGCCCGUGUCCUUACACUCUAUUCGGAUCUGCUCCAGCUCCGUCACCUCAGCAAUGGACUCCUUCAGGUCCUCCACGAACUUCUGCAUCUCGUCCGAGCCCAGGGCACAGAAAUGCAGCACCUGCUUCUUCUCGGAGCCCGAGAGCGGGGUCACCAGUGUGAUGCCAUGAGAGUAAUCUGGAAAGCAGACCCCAGGCCCCCAGUGGGCUGUGAGCAGCAGCAGCCGAGGGCCAGAGCCAGCCAGACAUGAGGAGGGCACGGGGUCUCAUGCCUCCACCCACUCUGCUGUCCAGCCCUUCUCCCUCAACUCGCCCCAGCCAUUUCAUCCAUUCAUUCCUUCUCAAAGACUUACACUGGCUGUCAAAGACUUACACUCGUUCUCAAAGAGCUGGAACUGCAUGCCCAGCAGGCCAACUGACUUGCAAAAGGUGUACGUGGAGGAGCUCUUCUUCUUCGGGCAAAGUUUGAGAAUCUGUUCAGGAGAGGGAAACAGGCAUGCCCUGAUGAACAGACACUCACGGACACAUGGAUGCACAAACACCCGGGGGAUGCACGAUCACACAAACCCACGCAGUGAUGAAUGUGCACAUACAGCUUCUGUGAGCUGAGCCCUGGAGAUACAGGAGAACUCAGGACAGAGCCCCUGCCCUUAAGGUGCUUAUGGAAUGUGGAGUGUCACAGUGUCCAUCAGGUGAUCAAACAAUAAAGCAUAACAGCAAAAAAACAAAACCAAAGUGCUACGUGUUUUGAAGAAAAUGAAACAGGGUAAGGAAUCAAAAGUGAUUUGAGACUUGAAUGAAAAGGAGGAGGCCAGGAAGGCAAGAGGAGAGUGCAAGGUCUGGAGGAGCUUUGCAAGAAGGAGCAGCAAGUACAAAGGCCUGGCCCACAGGAGGGAGGCGCCUCCCAGGGCUGAGGAGAGGGCGGGGAGGCAGGUUAGGGAAAGGGGACACGUGGCCUGAUGUGCACUCCAGAGAGAUCACGCUGCUGCUCUCAGGGGGGUGGGGAGAGCCGUGUGGAGGCUGAUGUGGUUCACUGAAUGUACCAGGCGUGCACUAAGACUGUAGUAGUGGAGGUGGUGAGAGGUGGUUCAGGCUUGUGAUCACUUUGGAGGCAGUGCCAACGUGGCUCAUGGAUAGAGAGGGCCGGUGCGAGGGAGACACAAGCCCUGCUCCAGUCCUGCUCACCAGUUUUCCAGACCUACAAUGAUGCCUGGCACAUGGUCAACGCUGAUCAAAUAUUUGUUGAAUGGAUACUUCUUUUCAAAGAGCAAAAAAAGUAUCUGUGGGUACAGAUGUGUGUAUGUGUGUGCACGCACACACACACACCAGCCUCGCCUAGGCCCAGGGACAGAGCAUGCUCCGCCUAGGCCCUGCUCCUCCCAGGCCCUGGGGUCUGAGGCACAGCCCUGUGCACUCCCUGUCCUGGGCUUCCUGUAACGUGGAGAGGCCAGUGGUCUGGGAACUAGUUCGUUAACAGUUUGUGCAACCACGAGCAGAUCAUCUGACGUCUCGGUGUCAUGACUUAUGAGGGACCCUGCCCAGGCUGACCAGGGCGGCAGAGGCAGCCCCAGCCCAGCCCAGUCCCGGAGCGGAGGCCACUCACCACCAGCAGGUCAUUGAAGAGGAACACCUCCCUCUGAUGCGCUGCCUGCUUCUGCAGCUUGUUCACAUCCGUCACCUCGAAGAGCCGGCUGCAGCACACCAGGCGGCGGUGGGGCACGGACAGCACCUGCACGCGGGCAGGGCGCUCAGCGGGAGAGACCAGAGGCCUGGAGGCCUCCCCACCCACGCGCCCAUUUUCCAGAAGAGGAGACAGCCCGGGAGAGGGGAGGGGCCCGGUUCUGUGGAGGGAGGAGAGGGGAGGGGUCCGGUUCUGUGGAGGGAGGAGAGGGGAGGGGUCCGGUUCUGUGGAGGGAGGGGAGGGGAGGGGUCCGGUUCUGUGGAGGGAGGGGAGGGGAGGGGUCCGGUUCUGUGGAGGGAGGGGAGGGGAGGGGUCCGGUUCUGUGGAGGGGGAGGGGAGGGCUCCGGUUCUGUGGAGGGAGGAGAGGGGAGGGGUUCGGUUUUGUGGAGAGGGAGGGGAGGGGCUCCGGUUCUGUCCUGGGGCCUGGACUUGACUCUCAUCCUUCUCUCUCCUCGUCUGAGGCUCUUUCCCUCGCACGUUCACCCCCUGUCCCAGGGCUCAUCCCUGUCAUGCUUCUUGGGGAGCACGGCCAGAGAAGGGGCCCACUGAGCCACAGUAAAUGAGGGGAUAGAGGGACAGGAAUAGGAAAUUGAGAAGAGCUUGCAGGCUGUUCCAGUCCAGCCACUGUCAACCUGCUUCCCUCCGUAACCUUGAGGGCAUCCCCUGCCCCAGGCUGCGGCCUGCAGAUAUGACACCUCCACCCUUUCUAUACUGCAGAGAUGCAGGUGUGCGAGAGCGAAGGGAUCACAGAGACACCUGGCAUCUACUCCAGCGUGUAAGACAAACCAGUCGCUUGCAACCCGACAGAUGCUGAGACCUCAGCAAUAAAGGCUCUCAAAGCAGAAAAGCCUGUCCCUGCACAGACUGGGAGGAGGGAGCCCAGUGCAGGGCCUCAGAAGAGAUCUCCAAACUCUCCCACACCGUCCCCUGAGGCAAGAAUAUGAGGAGGAGGAACUGGAACCCCCAUGACAUCCUUUAUAGUAUAAAGUGUAGUAGCCUACAGAGAAGUCCCACUUUAAAAAUCAUGGCAGGCUUGGAACAUGCUGCCUGGGACACAGGUCACUACCAAUAGGACAAAUCUAUGGUGAUGCCACAGCCUGGAGCCUAUUGAGCCCAUUUCCUGCCUUCCACUCAUCAGGACCAUCCAGGAAUGCCUGGUAGUCAUGCUGUCCUAGGAAAGGGAUACUAAAUCUCAUCUGGCCACCCAGAUGCUUCCACCCUAGACCACUGGGCAGUCCUUCCUGACAUCUCAUCUCCGUCUCUCCUGCUGCAGUAUCGGGUGGCAAGAGGCAAUGAGGAAAUCAGGCAAGAAAAAAAAAAAGAGAUGCAGUGUCUGGCACACAGUAGGUACUUCAUAACUAUCAUGUGAAUGAAUAUGAAAAAAGAGUUUUGGAAAGGUAAGAAGGAGAAUGGGAAGAGAUGCCAGGAAGAAAGAAAGGAAAGGAGACGGGAGAUAGGUAGCUUGUGGACACUCACUGUCUUCAUGCCCACAAUGGACUUCUCCACCUUGGUGACGUACGUGACGUGGUCCUCAUUGGACUUGAGCUCCUUCUGCUGUAUCCUCUCAUAGAUGCCUACCACCAGCUCCCUGGGGAUGUCAGCGCCAUCGUCCACACCUAACAACGUGGAGUGGGCAGGGGUGGUGGUGGGGUUGGGAGGGAGGGUGUCAGAGCCCUGGAGCCAGACAGAAGAGACCCCCAUCCAGCCUGGAGCUCCCGGGGGGUGGCCUUGGUUCUUGCCAUGCCUUCAAUGGCUGGUGCCUCAUACCCAUUCAAUUAAGAACAAGUUCCUUAGCCAGGCACCAAAACUAAUGAUAUGGCCCCAACACACAUCUCCUGCCUCACCUCCUGAUGUUCCCCAACCAGAGUCUUCACGCCCACCUCCCAGGCCUCUUUCCUGAUGGCAGAUACAGCCUCCAUGUUCCUGCUAACCCUGUGCGCCUCUGCAGUUCUGUCGUCUUCCUUGUGUUCGUCUCACCCCCCAGCUCCACCCCACCACUCCAGCAUCAUAAGGAGCUUCUGUUUCGUUCUCUUUUGGAUCUUCCUCCUGCUGGGCUCUCCUCUCCCCUCCAGUAGGGAGCAUGGCAUUGAGGGCUUAGUCUUUGAAGAGAUUCCUCCCUCACUGGGAGCAGUGGGGGAGCAGGCAGACCCCUGGCAAUGCAGGCGAGGACACCCCUGUCCCACCUCCUGCUUCAUAGUAAUGAUAAAACUCGGGCAACAAAAAAACACUGGCAGGAAAUAUGCCAACAAGAAAACACGUUUCUUUUGGAGAAACAGGCGAUUAAAAUAUCUUCUUUCUACUAUUUCCAAAUCUUUCUUUAAUGACUAUACGCUUCUUUUAUAAGAGGGAAAAAUUAAAAAUAAAACAACUUUGGCAAGCAUCUCUCAAAGGAGUGUUCCCAGCUACUGAAAGGACACCCCGCCUUCCACACGCAGCUCCCGGCCUGCUCUGGUCUCUUCCACGUCUGAUCUUGGUUCUCGAAGUCAGGCAAAUGAGCCAUGCAGCAGCCAAGGAGGCUGAAAGAAAUCAGGCGGCGGGUGAGAAAAACCAAGGAGAAAGGCUGAGUGUAUGGAUGCCCCCAGUUCAAGGUGGCAGGCUGCAUGCCUCUGCUGCUUCUGAAUACUCGGGAGAAAGGAAUCUUUUAGAAAAGCAUACACCCACAAAGACAGAGAACAGGGGCACAGGCACCCCAGGACCUGGCAAGUGGAUAAAUAAGUGGAUGGAUUUAGCAAACCUGAGAAAGCUGAACCCAGACCAGCAGAGAGGUUAGAAGCCACUCAAACACCACACAGCCACCAAAGGGCUUAGAGCUGGUGGUAACAGCAGCCCCUAAAAGCGAAGGUGAAGGUGGGCUGGGAAUUGGAAAACAGGUUGAAAACGGGUUAGAAAGCUGCUGGGCUUCCCUAUCCCCUCCUCACUCCAGCAGAAGACUGGGGGUCCAUUCUCUGGAACUCUGAGAUGAGGGACCCCACACCCAGCCAAGCCGGGACUCUGCUGAAUACUGGGGGAUGAAGUUGAUAACCUAUAUAUUAACCCUCAACUCCACUUCCCACUUAAAGAUCUCAGAACUCUGGCAGCCAGAAUCAUACAUUCUGGGCAACAGAUUGAACAUUUAUCUUCUGGGUAUCAGGCAGAACAAGAAAAAAAUAUCUCCAGAUACUGCAGUAGGGUCUCCCGGUGAAAUGCCUUAAGUAAAUCACCCUACAAGAAAGCUCACCAGCCAGCAGCCUCCACCUGUGUUCACAGAGUCAUUCAUCCGCUUUCUGGUGGCUCACUCUUAAAUAUGAAUGAACAACCAGAUUUCAUCAACUGCAUUUGGAAAGUCUAUACCAGGAAAGAGAAAGAAAUAUGGGGGAAAAAAAAAACAGAAAAAAGGACUCCAGAAGAAAUAGAGGCAAACAGAGAGAAAAACAAACAAACAAACCAAUAUUAACAUCUUCACCGAGAUGGGAGAAGAUAUUGCAUCUACAAAGCAAGAAUAAAAUGCUAUAAAAGAGGAACAUUGAGAGGACAAAAGAGAGCUAUUGAGAAUGAAAAAUAUGACAGCAGGAAUGAAAAACUUGGUAGGAGACACAAAAGACGGCACUGAGGGACACUUUCCAGAAAGUCAAGGAAGUAAACAAAGAUGGCAGGUAGAAAACUAUAAAAGUUACGAGGAUCAGACUAGGAGAUCCACCAACAGAAUAGCAGGAGUUCAAGAAAGAGAGUCCAGAGAAAUUGGAGGGCAGAAAUGAUCAAAUACAACAUUUAAGAAAACUUCCCAUGACCGGAGGACAUGAGUUUCUAGAUGGAAAGGACCAGUCCAGCCCUGGGCAUGAUGGAUGGAAGAAGAACUGUAGCAAGAUGCAUCAUCGUGAACAUCCAGAACACGAAGGCAGACAGAAGACCCUGCAAGCUUUCAGAGAGAGAGAAAGAGUAACAGACAAAAGGCCAGCAGCUGGGAUGGCAGAGCAGCACUGGCAGCUAAAGGACAAUGCAGCAGCAAUGCCUUUGAAAUCCUGAUUGGCGUGUUUUGAGGCUGGAAUUCUAUCCCCAGCCAAACUCCCAACCAAGGGCAAAGACAGAAAAAGAUACAUUCAGAAAUGCAAGUUCUCAAAAAUGGCCUUUUCUCUGAAAGUAAACUAAAAAUGAGGAAGCUCUGACAUGCAGGAACCAGGAAUCUGUCAUGAGAGCAAGGGAAGGAGGGCCCAGGAUGCAGGCUGUGCCCUGGCCCAGCCACUGUCCAGACUGGAGCAGGACCAGAGGCUCCCGGAAGAUGACUCUCCCGCACCACCUCCCAGGUCUGGACAUAUGGAGAGGAGCUUGAUACGUAGGGUGGGAAGUGGGGGCUGAAUCAGGGGAGGUCCUCAGAGAGUUAAGCAAAUGGAAAGAGAAGCAUUAACUCCAAGGAAAGUAUAGAUGAAGGGAGUUGCAAUCAUUCUGCACUUGCAGACUCAGCUUUGGAGUGUGUGUGCAGAGCCCUAAUAACAUGAGCACUGACGUGAGUGGGAUGGGUCAGGGAAGGUGGAUGAAAGAGGGCUAAAUCCUUACAUUCUAUAAUGGGGAAUUAAUAGAUCAUGCUUAAAAUAAAAAUAAUUAACAAGGGCCAGGCGUGGUGGCUCAUGCCUGUAAUCCCAGCACUUUGGGAGGCUGAGGCAGGCGGAUCACCUGAGGUUGGGAGUUCAAAACCAGUCUGUUCAACAUGGUGAAACCUCAUCUGUUCUAAAAAUAUAAAAAUUAGCUGGGUGUGGUGGUGCACACCUGUAAUCCCGGCUACUUGGGAGGCUGAGCCAUAAGAAUUACUUGAACCUGGGAGGUGGAGGUUGCAGUGAGCUGAGACUGCACCACUGCACUCCAGCCUGGGCAACAGAAAUAAUAAUUAACAAGGAGCAGUGUAUAAAAGAGACCAGAUACCAAAGUAUAAAUACUGUAUAGCUCUAUUUAGAUGAAGUUCAAGGACUGGCAGGACUCGUCAAAUGGUGAUAAAAGGCAGAAUAGUUGUUACUCUUGGGCGAAGGCAUUGACUGGGACGGGACAGGAGAGAACAUUCUGGGCAGGUGAAAAUGAUCCAGAUCAGGAUCCAGGUGUGAUGACACAGUGCACGUGACCGUACACAUUCAUCAAACUUCAGGCUUACACACUCACAGUCUGGACUUUAUGCCAGUUAAAAAAAGAGAUAGAAAAAAGCGAAGCAGAAGCCUGCGGUUUAUCGAUACAGAAGAAACGCAAAUAGCUAAAAAAGUCAAAAGUGGUUGCCUCUGGAGAAGGUGAGUGGUGAGAGGGGCAGCGACUAAUUUUUUUCUAUGAUAAGCCUUGUAGGAUUAUUUGACUUUAUUAAAUUAUGUGGAUGUAUAACUUUGAUUCUUUUAACGGGUAAAAAAAAAAAAACAAUUGCGCACACAUCACACUCUGCCAGUCCUGGUUUGCUCCCUGCCAGGCAGUGCGCUGCAUCGAUGAGAGAAGGACUUGCCAGCUGGUGCCAUACAGUUAUCUGCAAGGCUGACUUAAAUGGACCCAGGGCCCUGCUCCUGGCUCCUUCCUUGUAAGUUGUGGAGGGGAAGGGCUGGCACCACUUGAGCCGCCAGCUCUGGUGUCAGGGGCCUAGAGGCCAACCAUGUUCCACGGAGGGCAAGAGGCACUGCCCAAGGGCGCUUGCUGUUUGGUAGAGCGGUGGCGGUGGCAGGCUGCAUGCCGGAAACUCCCCAGCCGCCUGGCUCACAAGGAAUGUUCCCAGCUUGCUAUGGGUGACCAGGCCCAGACAGCAGGUGACCAUCUGUGAUAGGGGCUCAGACUCACAGAAUGCACGGUGCACAGAAUGGGGCCUGAGCCGUGGCCUUGCCCCUCCUGCCCCAGUGCCCACCUCCUCACCUCGAAGGCGAGGAUGAAGAUGGUGUCGG
RNAcentral lists this long non-coding RNA (9699 nucleotides) under Homo sapiens (human). RNAcentral's name for it is "non-protein coding lnc-SLC6A12-2:5". Lineage: Eukaryota; Metazoa; Chordata; Mammalia; Primates; Hominidae. The record is from RNAcentral.